Molecule: long non-coding RNA, 1014 nt
Organism: Medicago truncatula (barrel medic)
Lineage: Eukaryota; Viridiplantae; Streptophyta; Magnoliopsida; Fabales; Fabaceae
Exons: 2
Source: RefSeq, a predicted model, not a curated record
UUGGUUGCAACUAUCCUAGUAACAUACACUUGCCCACGCGUCACAUCUUGAGAAGAAUCCCAUCACCUUCACUCAUUCAUUGUCUUGAUAAGCCAGUUAACCUUAGCAGAUAUUUAGCUUUACUAUAUCUCUACAAUGUUCUCUUUAUUCAAAAUUUCCACUCAUAGUAUAAUUAGGAGAAUAUGAUUGCAAAAACAACCAAUCCAAUCCUUUCUCCAUUUAGUUAUUCAAAAUUUCAUGAACAACUUUCUAAGGCACUAAUCAGAUAUUUUUCAAUUGCGGUCUUUUGAUUGGAUGAGAUUUGAACUUGCAAUAACAAAAUAGAUUCAAUAUUUGCUGAAAGUAAUGAUAUAACAAUUGAUUUUAUUCAUCCAUUAAUUCCUUUGAUUGAAACCCGUAUAGAUUAAAAAGUCUUGGAUGGAAGAAUUGGAUAUGAUAGCUAUUGAAAAAGGAAGCUAAGUUAUCAAAAGUAGAGACGGAGAGUUAGUACCGAAUUGGAAGGAAAAGCAGGAGAACCAGAGCUGAAGUCACAUGUUAUUGCCCUUCCGGCCAGUUUCAACAAUGUUUGUAUCAUGAAAACAUAUAUGAUAAAUGAGAAUGGGGACCUGAAAGAUAACAAAAUUUCCUCAUAAACAUGAAUCUAUUCAAGCUUCCUUCCUCAAAAUUUCUGGGUCCAUCGCUGAUGAUGUUAUUGACUAGGUUGAACCAUUUGUCUUCUAGGUUUUGUUGCUGCACAUAACCUCCCGGUUCUCUACGAAGGGUAUGACGAUCAGAUUGAUAACUUCGUGUACAAGGUACUUGAUCAGAUGCAAAACCAGUAUAGGAAGGUGGAUUCUGGUUUGCUUAGCAAAAUCCCCAAGGGAAAUAUCAAAGGAAAGAAGCUUGAAUAGAGUCAUGUUUAUGUAAAUGAUUUUGGAUUCUGUUUUUGUUGCUUUUACUUUGGCUCUAAGAAUUUCUUUUACUAUGUUGGAGUCUUAGAAAAUUUCGUUAUGUCCUUAUUUGAGUGGGGAAGGA